This 318-nucleotide ribosomal RNA is filed under the name Triticum aestivum (bread wheat). Its description in RNAcentral is "partial small subunit ribosomal RNA". Lineage: Eukaryota; Viridiplantae; Streptophyta; Magnoliopsida; Poales; Poaceae. The record is from RNAcentral.
AUGGCACCCCCACUCCCUUUGGCAGCAUCUACUAAUUUGGAACUUAAUUUGAAAGCCAUAUUUCGACCCGGACGGUUUUGGGAUGCUUCUAAUAACCAACGAAUGGCAAGUGCUCUUUGUUGUUUAGAUCCUAUUUCAAUCGGAACUUUCCGCGUCGAUCCUUUUUUAUUACGUCUUGUUUUACUCCUAUAUUGGGAGUUACUCUACAUAUUGCUUGACGUAAAACCAAUAGUGGAUUUUUUUCUGUCUUUUGUUGAAUCUUUUUCACGGCUCGAUAGAGAAUUUGAUAAGCCAAUGAUUUUUUUCCGUCUUUCAUAA